RNAcentral lists this ribosomal RNA (467 nucleotides) under uncultured bacterium. Its description in RNAcentral is "partial 16S ribosomal RNA". It matches the Rfam family "Bacterial small subunit ribosomal RNA", at positions 28 to 506 of the family's 1533-position model. The record is from RNAcentral.
GACGAACGCUGGCGGCGUGCUUAACACAUGCAAGUCGAACGGAAAGGCCCUGCUUUUGUGGGGUGCUCGAGUGGCGAACGGGUGAGUAACACGUGAGUAACCUGCCCUUGACUUUGGGAUAACUUCAGGAAACUGGGGCUAAUACCGGAUAGGAGCUCCUGCUGCAUGGUGGGGGUUGGAAAGUUUCGGCGGUUGGGGAUGGACUCGCGGCUUAUCAGCUUGUUGGUGGGGUAGUGGCUUACCAAGGCUUUGACGGGUAGCCGGCCUGAGAGGGUGACCGGCCACAUUGGGACUGAGGUACGGCCCAGACUCCUACGGGAGGCAACAGUGGGGAAUAUUGCACAAUGGGCGGAAGCCUGAUGCAGCAACGCCGCGUGCGGGAUGACGGCCUUCGGGUUGUAAACCGCUUUCGCCUGUGACGAAGCGUGAGUGACGGUAAUGGGUAAAGAAGCACCGGCUAACUACGU